UACGGGGGGGGCAAGCGUUGUUCGGAAUUACUGGGCGUAAAGGGCUCGUAGGCGGCCAACUAAGUCGGAUGUGAAAUCCCCAGGCUUAACCUGGGAACUGCAUCCGAUACUGGAUGGCUUGAAUCCGGGAGAGGGAUGCAGAAUUCCAGGUGUAGCGGUGAAAUGCGUAGAUAUCAGGAGGAACACCAAUGGCGAAGGCAGCUCGCUGGGACGUGACUGACGCUGAGACGCGAAAGCGUGGGGAGCAAACAGG
RNAcentral lists this ribosomal RNA (253 nucleotides) under uncultured bacterium. RNAcentral describes it as "partial 16S ribosomal RNA". It matches the Rfam family "Bacterial small subunit ribosomal RNA", at positions 524 to 776 of the family's 1533-position model. The record is from RNAcentral.